Molecule: ribosomal RNA, 492 nt
Filed under: uncultured bacterium
Lineage: Bacteria
Description: partial 16S ribosomal RNA
Rfam family: Bacterial small subunit ribosomal RNA
Source: RNAcentral
AGUGAACGCUGGCGGUAGGCCUAACACAUGCAAGUCGAACGGCAGCACAGUAAGAGCUUGCUCUUACGGGUGGCGAGUGGCGGACGGGUGAGGAAUACAUCGGAAUCUACUUUUUCGUGGGGGAUAACGUAGGGAAACUUACGCUAAUACCGCAUACGACCUACGGGUGAAAGCAGGGGAUCUUCGGACCUUGCGCGAUUGAAUGAGCCGAUGUCGGAUUAGCUAGUUGGCGGGGUAAAGGCCCACCAAGGCGACGAUCCGUAGCUGGUCUGAGAGGAUGAUCAGCCACACUGGAACUGAGACACGGUCCAGGCUCCUACGGGAGGCAGCAGUGGGGAAUAUUGGACAAUGGGCGCAAGCCUGAUCCAGCCAUACCGCGUGGGUGAAGAAGGCCUUCGGGUUGUAAAGCCCUUUUGUUGGGAAAGAAAAGCAGCAGGUUAAUACCCCGCUGUUCUGACGGUACCCAAAGAAUAAGCACCGGCUAGCUUCGUG